Molecule: transfer-messenger RNA, 346 nt
Filed under: Lachnospiraceae bacterium C1.1
Lineage: Bacteria; Bacillati; Bacillota; Clostridia; Lachnospirales; Lachnospiraceae
Rfam family: transfer-messenger RNA
About the family: Bacterial tmRNA, also known as 10Sa RNA or SsrA, is named for its dual tRNA and mRNA-like properties.
Source: RNAcentral
GGGGUAGUACUGGUUUCGACAGGGAUCUUGCAGCUGGAGAAGCUAUCCGUGGGAAGGUACGUUAGACCGCAAAUUAAAUAUAAUCGCAAACAACGAUUACGAAUUAGCUGCAGCCUAAGCGCUGUGCUCGCCAGUCCGGUUCUCCCCAUCGUCCCGGGUACUGACGUCAUCAUGAUGGGAAACGACAUUGGCAAAGCUUUGAGUCAGUGGGCGUAACAUGAAGCUACUGAAACCGUAAGAGUGUGUUUCCCCGUGCGGUGGAGGGAAUUUUAAUAGAAACACUAUGAUAGUAGAAGGACAGGGAAUAGGUUUUUGGACAGGGGUUCGACUCCCCUCUACUCCACUA